Molecule: non-coding RNA, 31 nt
Filed under: Mus musculus (house mouse)
Lineage: Eukaryota; Metazoa; Chordata; Mammalia; Rodentia; Muridae
Source: RNAcentral
UNGCUACCUUAUAACUAGUCUUUUGGAGUUC